AUACAUCAACUUUGUAUGCGACCG
RNAcentral lists this non-coding RNA (24 nucleotides) under Arabidopsis thaliana (thale cress). The record is from RNAcentral. Lineage: Eukaryota; Viridiplantae; Streptophyta; Magnoliopsida; Brassicales; Brassicaceae.